UGUUAGGGAGGUACAAGUUAGAAAUUUUCAUUUUUCCUUUCUCUCUCUAAGCCCAGUACUCCACCAUCUCUUUUUUUUUUCUCUUGUAUAUGAUUUGAAGGUUUAAAUAAAAGAAGGCAAAUAGUCUCCGUUAAUCACUAUUUCGGUCUUGCAUCCGACCAAAUUUAAGGGCUCGAUUGUGAUAAAAUUGGACGUGCUUUGAUGCACUAAUAAGGAGAUUUAUGAUUAUGGAAGAACUUGGAGUGACAUGCUGAACACGAAGACACUUGGAAAAGGUUCAGAAAUAAUGGAAUGCAGUGGGGAAAAUUAUGAGUCAGAUGGCAAUUUCCAGUGAGGGUCCAGAAUAGCCCCGCACCACAGACCCUAAUUUUCGUUAUGACCUCCGCGUCAUGGAGUAUGACUGAUUUAUAAAGCCAAUUUCCAGUGAAGGUCUGUGAUGGGCCCGAGCCGCGAACCCUAGUGUCCAUAAUGAACUUCGUAGUGUAGUGAAGAUGAAUUUUUGAGUAGAUUGUGCCUCACUAUAAAAGGAAGACGUAAACAUAAAUUGGAUCAUCUUUUCACACGGAUCGCAAAGGCAAAAACAAAUACGAGAGUUCUAUUCGGGUUCUUUGAAUUUUCAUAUUUCAACAAUUAACUUUAGUAUGAUUAAUUACAUUUUGUUGAUGUUGAUUUGGAACAUGAGUGGGUAAAAACCCUUGUUCUUGGAUUGAGGCCAAGGACAUGUUAUAUUUUGUUAUUCUUAGAGUGGUUAACAUUGAUUUAUCGUAUGGAUUAUUCUUAUUC
This is a long non-coding RNA of Capsicum annuum, 783 nucleotides long. RefSeq lists it as uncharacterized. The transcript has 2 exons. Lineage: Eukaryota; Viridiplantae; Streptophyta; Magnoliopsida; Solanales; Solanaceae. The record is from RefSeq and is a predicted model, not a curated record.